Leptopilina heterotoma is the source of this 328-nucleotide long non-coding RNA. RefSeq lists it as uncharacterized. The transcript is spliced from 3 exons. The record is from RefSeq and is a predicted model, not a curated record. Lineage: Eukaryota; Metazoa; Arthropoda; Insecta; Hymenoptera; Figitidae.
UUUAUUAUUCACAGAUUCACUUUAUUAUUUUUGUAUUUGUUUCUUUAGAUGAAAAGGAAACUUUUUCAGCCCGGCACUCAUUGAUAUUAAAUAAUGUUACAAAAAUGUCCAGGCUACCAUGUUAGCAGACAACGAUAGCAGACAAUUUUACAUAUUGUUAUAGAGAAGUGUAGUCAACAUGGAAGCCAACAAAACUGAACAAAAUUCAGAUACAUAUUUUAAGCGAAGCCGGGAGACCAAUGAAGGAUGAUAGUUUACUGUAAGUCAAUGGCAAUAACAAUCCGGAUGUGAGAUAUGUGAAAAAACCAUUAGACGUCAUCCUAAAAAG